UGCGCAGGCGGAAAGAUAAGUCAGUGGUGAAAUCCUACGGCCUAACCGUAGAACUGCCAUUGAAACUGCCUUUCUUGAGUAUAGUUGAAGUGGGCGGAAUGUGUCAUGUAGCGGUGAAAUGCAUAGAUAUGACACAGAACACCAAUAGCGAAGGCAGCUCGCUAAACUAUAACUGACGCUCAUGCACGAAAGCGUGGGGAGCAAACAGGAUUAGAUACCCUGGUAGUCC
RNAcentral lists this ribosomal RNA (229 nucleotides) under uncultured bacterium. RNAcentral describes it as "partial 16S ribosomal RNA". It matches the Rfam family "Bacterial small subunit ribosomal RNA", at positions 568 to 796 of the family's 1533-position model. The record is from RNAcentral.